CUCUUUCCACGGUCUCCCUCUGAUGCCCAGCCGAGGCUGGACUGUACUGCUGCCAUCUCGGCUCACUGCAACCUCCCUGCCUGAUUCUCCUGCCUCAGCCUGCCAAGUGCCUGCGAUUGCAGGCACGCGCCGCCACGCCUGACUGGUUUUCGUAUUUUUUUGGUGGAGACGGGGUUUCGCUGUGUUGGCUGGGCUGGUCUCCAACUCCUAACCGCGAGUGAUCCGCCAGCCUCGGCAUCCCGAGGUGCCGGGAUUGCAGACGGAGUCUCGUUCACUCAGUGCUCAGUGGUGCCCAGGCUGGAGUGCAGUGGCGUGAUCUCGGCUCGCUACAACCUCCACCUCCCAGCCGCCUGCCUUGGCCUCCCAAAGUGCCGAGAUUGCAGCCUCUGCCCGGCCGCCACCCUGUCUGGGAAGUGAGGAGCGCCUCUUCCCGGCCGCCCAUUGUCUGGGAUGUGAGGAGCCCCUCUGCCUGGCUGCCCAGUCUGGAAAGUGAGGAGCGUCUCUGCCGGGCCGCCAUCCCAUCUAGGAAGUGAGGAGCGCCUCUUCCCGGCCGCCAUCCCAUCUAGGAAGUGAGGAGCGUCUCUGCCCGCUGCCCAUCGUCUGAGAUGUGGGGAGCGCCUCUGCCCUGCUGCCCCGUCUGGGAUGUGAGGAGCGUCUCUGCCCGGCUGCCCCGUCUGAGAAGUGAGGAGACCCUCUGCCUGGCAACUGCCCCGUCUGAGAAGUGCGGAGCCCCUCCGCCCGGCAGCCACCCCGUCUGAGAAGUGAGGAGCCCCUCCCCCUGGCAGCCACCCCAUCUGGGAAGUGAGGAGCGUCUCCGCCCGGCAGCCACCCCGUCCGGGAGGGAGGUGGGGGUCAGCCCCCGCCAGGCCAGCCGCCCCGUCCGGGAGGGAGGUGGGGGGUCAGCCCCCGCCAGGCCAGCCGCCCCGUCCGGGAGGGAGGUGGCGGUCAGCCCCCCGCCCGGCCAGCUGCCCCGUCCAGGAGGGAGGUGGGGGGGUCAGCCCCCCGCCCGGCCAGCCGCCCCGUCCCGGAGGUGAGGGGCACCUCUGCCCGGCCGCCCCUACUGGGAAGUGAGGAGCCCCUCUGCCCGGCCACCACCCCGUCUGGGAGGUGUACCCAACAGCUCAUUGAGAACGGGCCAUGAUGACGAUGGCGGUUUUGUGGAAUAGAAAGUGGGGAAAGGUGGGGAAAAGAUUGAGAAAUCGGAUGGUUGCCGUGUCUGUGUAGAAAGAGGUAGACAUGGGAGACUUUUCAUUUUGUUCUGUACUAAGAAAAAUUCUUCUGCCUUGGGAUCCUGUUGAUCUGUGACCUUACCCCCAACCCUGUACUCUCUGAAACAUGUGCUGUGUCCACUCAGGGUUGAAUGGAUUAAGGGCGGUGCAAGAUGUGCUUUGUUAAACAGAUGCUUGAAGGCAGCAUGCUCCUUAAGAGUCAUCACCACUCCCUAAUCUCAAGUACCCAGGGACACAAACACUGCGGAAGGCCGCAGGGUCCUCUGCCUAGGAAAACCAGAGACCUUUGUUCACUUGUUUAUCUGCUGACCUUCCCUCCACUGUUGUCCUGUGACCCUGCCAAAUCCCCCUCUGCGAGAAACACCCAAGAAUGAUCAAUUAAAAAAAAAGAAAAAAGAAAAAAAUUAGCUGGGCCUGGUGGCAUGUGCCUGUAGUCCCAGCCACUUGGGAGGCUGAGGCAGGAAAAUCGCCUGAACCCGGGAGGUAGAGGUUGCAGUGAACUGAAAUUGUGCCACCGCACUCCAGCCCGGCAACAGAGCAAGACUCUGUCUCAAAUAAAGAGAAAGGACAAGGCUGUGGCUCACUGAAUGGUAGCAAAGUCAUGGUGAUGCUGCACUGAUGAAACUUUCUGGAAAUUCUACGUUUGAAACUUGCUGGAAAUCAGCUGUGGUGUCAUGUUGAAACCAACCCAAUUGUCCCACAGAACUGAUAUUUAUGGUUUUUUUAAAAUAAAUGUAGAAGUUGACCUUCAUGAGUCUUGAAACUUGAAAAUGUUACACUUGUCUUAUCUGAAUUUAUUUCUCAGGAAACCAACUAUCAGGCCUCCCAGAUAGUAUCAAGGAACUGAAACUUCCCAGAUCACAGCAUCUGUACAAUGAGACACCAGACCCUUCACUGGUCAUGAUUACCUGACCACCUGCCACCUGCUUCCUGCUGAACAACUCUUCUUUCUUAUCCUCCCCUAAUUCCUGUUUUCCUGUAUGUAGCUACAUUUCUUUUCUGCUGUAUAAACUCCUAAUUUUAGUUGGUCACGGAGAUGGAUUUGAAGCUGAUCUCCCACCUCCAUGGCUGCAGUACCUGAUUAAAGCUUUCUUUCCUGGCAGUACUGGUUGUCUCAGUGACUGGCUUUCUGUGCAGCCAGCAGCAAGACCUAGACAAAACCCCUGGUGUUUUGGUAAUAAUGUCACAGAACUUGCCAGAAAUCAGCCAUCUAAGGUUCUUGGGAAAGCUAUUUACAGGAAAGUGUCCCACCAGAGGCUCCUUUCUGAAAAUAAUGCCAGAGAAGAGUGUUGGGAGACGUUCCUGGCUACUGGCAAUGAAGUAGUAGGCAGGCGCUGGACAAGCCCCUUGUUCUGCAGAAGCCUGUCUACCAAGCACACUAAAAUUGGAAAGGAAAGCCCAUUCCAUGCAGGAAAAAUAGUUAAAGGUCCCAAAUCCAUUUUCUCAGAGCAGGAAAUGAUGAGAGAAUUUGAAGCUGAGAGUCAAGAAAUUGAUUACUGGCACACUAUGUAAUCUUUUUACAUUGUUUAACUUUUACGUUAGCAGCUUUGGAAACUAUUUAUUUCCAAAAUUACUUUGUUAUUGUUUGUUUGUUUUUGAGACAGCGUUUUGCUCUGUUACGCCAGCUGGAGUGCAGUGGUGUGAGCACAGCUCACUGCAGCCUCAAACACCUAGGUUCAAGCAAUUCUCCUGCCUCAACCUCCCAAGUAGCUAGGAUUACAGGUGCGUGCCACCAUGCCCUGCUAAUUAUUUUUGUUAAAUUUUUGUAGGCCGGGUGUGGAGCUCACUCCUGUAAUCCCAGCUCUUUAGGAGGCUGAGGCAGGGGGAUUGCUUGAGCUCAGGAGUUCGAAAUCAGCCUGAGCAAGGUGGCAAAACCCUGUCUCUACAAAAAAUACAAAAAAUUAGCCAGGCAUGGUGCCACAGGUAUGUGCUCCCAGCUACUUGGGAGGUUGAGGCAGAGGAUCUCUUGAGCCCAGAAGGUUGAGGCUGCAGUGAGCCAAGAUCCCGCCACUGUACUCAGCCUGGGUGGCAGAGUGAGACUGUGUCUCAAAAAAAAAUUUUUUUUUUUAAAGAUGGGGUCUUGCUAUAUUGCACAGGCUAGUCUUGAACUCUUGACCUCAAGUGGUCCUCCUGCCUUGGCCUCCCAAAGUGCUGGGAUUACAGAUCAUCUUGCUCAGCCUAUUUCCAAAAUUUUUCAUUACCCCAAAUAGAAACUGUAACCAUUAAGCAAUAACUCCCCAUUCUCUAUCUCUGUAGUCCCUGGUGACAUCUAAUCCACUUUUAUUUUUUUAUAAAUUUGCAUAUCCUAGCUACCUUAUACAAGUACAAUCAUACAGUGUUUGUCCUUUUGUGACUGGCUGUGAUACUUAGCAUAAUGUCUUCACGGUUCAUCAUGUUGUAGCAUGUAAAAAAGCCAUGAUAUGUAUAUACAACAUUUUGUUUAUCCAUUCA
RNAcentral lists this long non-coding RNA (3680 nucleotides) under Homo sapiens (human). RNAcentral's name for it is "HSALNT0155790". The record is from RNAcentral. Lineage: Eukaryota; Metazoa; Chordata; Mammalia; Primates; Hominidae.